UACGUAGGGUGCGAGCGUUGUCCGGAAUUAUUGGGCGUGCGGGCGAUACGGGCAGACUGGAGUACUGCAGGGGAGACUGGAAUUCCUGGUGUAGCGGUGGAAUGCGCAGAUAUCAGGAGGAACACCGGUGGCGAAGGCGGGUCUCUGGGCAGUAACUGACGCUGAGGAGCGAAAGCGUGGGGAGCGAACAG
RNAcentral lists this ribosomal RNA (191 nucleotides) under uncultured bacterium. RNAcentral's name for it is "partial 16S ribosomal RNA". It matches the Rfam family "Bacterial small subunit ribosomal RNA", at positions 524 to 775 of the family's 1533-position model. The record is from RNAcentral.